Polypterus senegalus (gray bichir) is the source of this 72-nucleotide non-coding RNA. The record is from the annotation of a RefSeq genome assembly. Lineage: Eukaryota; Metazoa; Chordata; Cladistia; Polypteriformes; Polypteridae.
GGCCUUGUAGCUCAGAGGCAGAGCAUUGGUCUCGUAAACCAGGGGUCGUGAGUUCAACCCUCACCAAGGCCU